This is a long non-coding RNA of Ostrinia nubilalis (European corn borer), 3395 nucleotides long. RefSeq lists it as uncharacterized. The record is from RefSeq and is a predicted model, not a curated record. Lineage: Eukaryota; Metazoa; Arthropoda; Insecta; Lepidoptera; Crambidae. The transcript is spliced from 3 exons.
UCUGCUCAUCUGAGGACGAUCGAUGAAGCGGCGAGUAAAAUUUUAAUUUGUUCAACCGGCACGGCAGUCUUUUUAAUUUUAUUUUUUAACGAAAAAGCUAAGUUUUAAGCCACAAUCAUGGUAUUAGCCCAUGACAUUAACGAGGGCAAUAGAACGUGUGAUGUGCAGAUAGUUCAAAAUGUUACUUUUGAAUCAAUGCUGCUAGCACCUAAUACUUUGCAGGGAUUAAAACAAUCCGGUUUUUAUAAACCCUCACCAGUUCAACUACACGGCAUUCCAUUAGGAAAAUGUGGAUUUGAUCUAUUACUAGAAGCUAAAUCUGGAACUGGAAAAACCGCCGUAUUUUCUGUUAUAUCUCUUGAGACAUUGGAUCUAGGCAAAGGAGUGCAAGUAAUAAUACUAGCACCAACUAGAGAAAUUGCUUUCCAAAUAUGUGAUGUCAUCAAACAAAUAGGAUCCCAUUAUAAAGGUUUGGCUGUUGAGGUUGUGAUUGGAGGGCUUCCAGUGGAAGAAGAUAUCCGCAAAUUUGAAAAGAAUGUUCAUGUAGUUGUGGGCAGCCCUGGAAGGUUACGCCAUUUGAUUCAAUCUAAAUACAUAGACGUUUCUUCUGUGAGACUUCUAAUCCUUGAUGAGGCUGAUAAAUUAAUGGAGAAAAGCUUUCAGGCAGAUGUAAACUAUAUUUUUUCAACAUUACCUGCCCAAAAACAAGUCAUCAUGAGUAGUGCUACAUAUUCUGAAUCUACUAAAGAAUUUAUCACCAAAUAUAUCAAAUGUGCUCAACAUGUAUGCCCAGAUAUCAGUUGUAUACUAUUGGGUGUAGAGCAAAAAAAAACUGUUGUAAAUUGCAACAGUAAUAUUGUUAGGCAAACUAAAAAUAGAUUUCAGGAAUUGUUAAAAAUAUUAACCAAAAAGCAAUUUAAACAGUGCCUGAUAUUUUGUAACUAUCAGGCAAGAGUGGCUGAAUUACACAAAUUACUAUCACGACAAAAUUGGCCUGUUGAACAAUUACGUGGACAGCAAGAUCAGACAGAUCGUCUUGAUGCAUUGAAAAUAUUAAAAGAAUAUAAGUGUAGAAUAUUGGUGUCUACUGAUUUGGCUGCAAGAGGAAUAGAUGCUUCAAAUGUUGACCUAGUCAUUCAUUUUGAACCACCUAGUGAAUGGCAAACAUAUUUGCAUCGAAUAGGCAGAGCAGGUCGUUAUGGCUCAUAUGGUUUGUCUAUUGCAAUACUUAGUGAAGGCAAAGAAGAAGUUCAAUUUGAAAAUAUGAUACAAGCAAUAAACCUCAAUAAUUUAAAAGUCACCAAUUUAUGGGCAGAUGAGUCUGAAAACAGUGCCAGUAAUGUAAACCUGCCCCUGUCCCUUACAAAGCAAAACAAUUUAACUGCUGGUGAAUUGGAAGCGGUGUCCAAAGAAGUAUGGGAUGAUCUGUUAUGUCUAAACAGUAAUAAAGAAAAAUUGGAAGAAUUUGAUAAAUUACGUGAAUCAUUUGAAGAAUCUAAAAUUUUUAAAAUUGAAUCAUUCACUGAUUUAAUUAACUCAUUUGAAGAAAAUAAAGAUGAUACUUCUAAUACAGAUAUUUCUCACAAUUUGCUAAAAAUAAUACCCAAAACAUCAAUAAAACAUUUUUAUGAAUCAGUAAAAUCGUUGGUAAAUGGUCAGAAGCCUAAACCCAAUGAAAAAGAUAUGUCCAGAAUGGAAUCAAACAAUAAUUCAUUAGAUGUUCUUAAUAAUGGGAAAAAACAAACAUUCAAUCCAAGAACAGAUAAUUUCAUUUCAGAAAAUAAUAAUAUUAAUGCUCUUAAUCCAUUAGAUGAUUUUACAAAUACUGAUGCAUGUUCUAGUAAAGAUCUUAUAGAUGCAGGUCUUCCAUCCUCAUUUGGUACUUCAAAAGGUCGUUACUCUAAGAAAACAAAUAGAAAAAAAUAUAUCAAAAACCGUCAUAUAACGACCGACAAUGGCGAAGAAUUACAAAGCAAACAAUAUGAAGUCAAAAAUGACCAACAAUAUAAACAAACAACUGAUCGUAAAAUUAAGAAAGAAUCAACUUAUGAACCUCAAGAAUCACAGUCUCCAAUAAUAAUCAGAAAUAAUAAUUACGGUAAUCAUGCAUCUAAAAAGAAAGUAAAUAUAAACAUGAAAAAAGUUCAAAGUGACUCAACUAAUUCUGAUGAUAGUGAUACAUUGCAUGAGAAUCAUUAUGUUUAUCAGGAAAAGUACACUGAAGAUUACAAAAGUUGGUAUUAUCAGUUAAAAAAUAGAGUUAAAUUAAUUGAAAUUGCUCUUUAUAUUGAAGAAUUAAGCAACAUGUAAUCACAUUUUAUGCUUUCAAUAAAACAAAUUAAUUACCAAAAAACUGUUUAUUUCCCACUCUCACAAAUUAUUAUGUCUAGCAACAUUUUUUUUACAAGUACAUUGUUUUAAUAAUUACCAUCAGCCUACACUGACUUAUCAGGGGGUGUAACAAUAUGAUACUAUAAAGUAAUUCAUGUACCUGUUCGGAAUGAACAAUACAAUGGAAACCAGAACAAAACCUAUGCACUAGUACUGUAGUGUAAUAUAAUUAAUGUGUGGGAUACUCUUUUAUACACCCUUUUUUCAGGUCAAUUACAAAGUUUAUAGCAAACACCUCAAGAGGUAUGACAUCUUAAAUCUGCACUGGGGAGUGUAGAGAUAAUAUGUAAAUGACUGACUCAGUGGGGAAGAUACUUAACAUACAAAGGACACUAUAACCUUCUCAUCCACUCAUAAACUGUCGUGAGACUGAUAGCAGAUAAAGCACAAAAAAAUGUAGGACUGUUCUGUUGCUAUCUCUCAGAAGGUAGUAUGUCCUUGUCCUGUUUUGAAUAUAUUAAGCAGUUCUACUGUUUUGCCUAGGGGUCUGUCCCAUUAAUUAAAAUUCCAGGACUAGGUUGUUCCAAUAUGCAAAAAAUAUUUUUUUAUUAUUAUUCUGUGACGCUAGGCACAUAGCACACACCGCCCUCAACCGUAGUAUGUAAAUAAAAAUUAUAAAAGACCAUAAUAUAAAACAUUAACUAAUAAAAAUAAUGCAUCAAAUCAUGUAAAAAUAAGAACACCUCUCUUUUUAAAAGACUAGUCUUAUCAUGCUAAUAACAAUAACAAAACUGAUUUGAUCCUGUGGGUUGAAUUCACUUUAGAAUUCAAUUUGCAUAAUUUAUUUCAUUAACAUUAAUGAAAAUAAUUUUCUCACCAAGCAAGAUGAUGCCUCAUUGGUAUUCAGAGGGAAGGUAUUCAUCACAUCACGUCAUAUAGGUACAUAUACCUAAUGUAAUUUUGCACUGCGUCCAAUACGAUAUAUUAUUAUGAUCCGUCAAAAUACGGAUCUAGGAAAGUAAUAAGAGAUUAGAGAAUAUGGUUAUCGGAAAUCGAACCUAGUG